RNAcentral lists this ribosomal RNA (1348 nucleotides) under metagenome. RNAcentral's name for it is "bacterial LSU rRNA". It matches the Rfam family "Bacterial large subunit ribosomal RNA", at positions 1564 to 2925 of the family's 2925-position model. The record is from RNAcentral.
UGAGUGCGAGCGGCUACGGCCGCGAAGUGGGUGAUGUCAAGCUUCCAAGAAAAGCCCUAUACCCGUUAAGGCAUGAUGGCCUGUACCCGAAACCGACACAGGUGGGGUGGUAGAGAAUACCGAGGGGCGCGAGGUAACUCUCUCUAAGGAACUCGGCAAAAUGGCCCCGUAACUUCGGGAGAAGGGGUGCCACCGCAAGGUGGUCGCAGUGAAGAGGCCCAGGCGACUGUUUACCAAAAACACAGGUCUCCGCUAAGUCGCAAGACGAUGUAUGGGGGCUGACGCCUGCCCAGUGCCGGAAGGUUAAGGAAGCUGGUCAGCGCAAGCGAAGCUGGCGACUGAAGCCCCGGUGAACGGCGGCCGUAACUAUAACGGUCCUAAGGUAGCGAAAUUCCUUGUCGGGUAAGUUCCGACCGCACGAAAGGCGUAACGAUCUGGGCGCUGUCUCGGAGAGAGGCUCGGCGAAAUAGAAUUGUCUGUGAAGAUGCGGACUACGUGCACCCGGACAGAAAGACCCUAUGAAGCUUUACUGUAGCUUGGUAUUGUGCCCGGGCUCUGAAUGCGCAGGAUAGGUGGGAGGCUUUGAUCCAUGGCUUGCGGGUCAUGGUGAGCCAACGGUGAGAUACCACUCUUUCAGAGCUAGGGUUCUAACGGUCACCCGUCAUCCGGGGACCGGACAGUAUCAGGUGGGCAGUUUGACUGGGGCGGUCGCCUCCUAAAAGGUAACGGAGGCGCGCAAAGGUUUGCUCAGGCUGGUUGGAAAUCAGCCGACGAGUGCAAAAGCAGAAGCAAGCUUGACUGUGAGACCUACAAGUCGAACAGGGACGAAAGUCGGCUUUAGUGAUCCGACGGUUCUGAGUGGAAGGGCCGUCGCUCAACGGAUAAAAGUUACUCUAGGAUAACAGGCUGAUCUCCCCCAAGAGUUCACAUCGACGGGGAGGUUUGGCACCUCGAUGUCGGCUCAUCGCAACCUGGGGCUGAAGUCGGUCCCAAGGGUUGGGCUGUUCGCCCAUUAAAGCGGUACGCGAGCUGGGUUCAGAACGUCGUGAGACAGUUCGGUCCAUAUCCGGUGCACGCGCAGGAACAUUGAGAGGAUUUCUCCCUAGUACGAGAGGACCGGGAGGAACGCACCUCUGGUGUGCCAGUUAUCGUGCCAACGGUAAACGCUGGGUAGCCAUGUGCGGAGUGGAUAACCGCUGAAAGCAUCUAAGUGGGAAGCCCACCUCAAGAUGAGUGUUCCCAUGGCAUAAGCCAGUAAGGUCACGGGAAGAACACCCGUUGAUAGGCUCUACGUGGAAGCCGGGUAACCGGUGAAGCGGAGGAGUACUAAUAGACCGAGGGCUUGACC